Molecule: ribosomal RNA, 200 nt
Filed under: uncultured bacterium
Lineage: Bacteria
Description: partial 16S ribosomal RNA
Rfam family: Bacterial small subunit ribosomal RNA
Source: RNAcentral
AUUGAACGCUGGCGGCAGGCCUAACACAUGCAAGUCGAGCGCGAAAGUUCUUCGGAAUGAGUAAAGCGGCGGACGGGUGAGUAAUACAUGGGAAUCUGCCUGGUAGUGGGGGACAACGUUUCGAAAGGAACGCUAAUACCGCAUACGCCCUACGGGGGAAAGGGGGGGAUCUUCGGACCUCUCGCUAUCAGAUGAGCCCA